RNAcentral lists this ribosomal RNA (382 nucleotides) under uncultured eukaryote. RNAcentral's name for it is "partial 18S ribosomal RNA". It matches the Rfam family "Eukaryotic small subunit ribosomal RNA", at positions 592 to 975 of the family's 1831-position model. The record is from RNAcentral.
CAAUAGCGUAUAUUAAAGUUGUUGCAGUUAAAAAGCUCGUAGUUGGAUUUCUGGUGGGAGCGAUCGGUCUGGCGCUUAGCGCGAGUACUUGCAUCGUCUCCGGCCAUCCUUGGGGAGAGUCUGUCUGGCAUUAGGUUGUCGGGCAGAGGAUCCUCAUCGUUUACUGUGAAAAAAUUAGAGUGUUCAAAGCAGGCUUAUGCCGUUGAAUAUAUUAGCACGGAAUAAUAAGAUAGGACUUUGGUACUAUUUUGUUGGUUUGCGCACCAAAGUAAUGAUUAAUAGGGACAGUUGGGGGUAUUCGUAUUCCGUUGUCAGAGGUGAAAUUCUUGGAUUUACGGAAGACGAACUACUGCGAAAGCAUUUACCAAGGAUGUUUUCAUUA